AACGCACGAGACCUGCGGACCUGCGGAGGGAUCAUUAAUGAGAAGCUGCCCCUCGUGGGUAGACCUCCCACCCUCUGUGAACUUACCUUUGUUGCCUUGGCAGGCCCGUCCUCUGGACCGCCGGCUUCGGCUGGCCCGUGCCUGCCAGAGGAUUCCAAACCCUGUCUGUCAGUGUUGUCUGAGUCUAUAUGAAAUCGUUAAAACUUUUAACAACGGAUCUCUAGAUCGGAAGAGCACACG
This 240-nucleotide unclassified non-coding RNA is filed under the name soil metagenome. Its description in RNAcentral is "partial contains 5.8S ribosomal RNA, internal transcribed spacer 2, and large subunit ribosomal RNA". The record is from RNAcentral.